Molecule: ribosomal RNA, 247 nt
Filed under: Vibrio sp. a1p11
Lineage: Bacteria; Pseudomonadati; Pseudomonadota; Gammaproteobacteria; Vibrionales; Vibrionaceae
Also listed under: 1 other name
Description: partial 16S ribosomal RNA
Rfam family: Bacterial small subunit ribosomal RNA
Source: RNAcentral
UUGUGGCCUUGAGCCGUGGCUUUCGGAGCUAACGCGUUAAGUAGACCGCCUGGGGAGUACGGUCGCAAGAUUAAAACUCAAAUGAAUUGACGGGGGCCCGCACAAGCGGUGGAGCAUGUGGUUUAAUUCGAUGCAACGCGAAGAACCUUACCUACUCUUGACAUCCAGAGAACUUUCCAGAGAUGGAUUGGUGCCUUCGGGAACUCUGAGACAGGUGCUGCAUGGCUGUCGUCAGCUCGUGUCGUGA